AGCUAAUAAAAUCCUUAUUGGGUCGAACAACAACCCGAAAGAGUUAUAUAUAAAUGUUUAGGGUUUCGAAGAAACCCCAAUUUUCUUUCUUCGUUAGCUGUCGACGCAUCCCUUCGUUGCCGAUUGGUUUUUAUCUAAGCUAAAAUGCAUAACAAAUAGGGAAAGAUCACCGAGCUCUAGAUUCCUAGGAAGUGGUGCGCAGUCAACUCAUUUUUAUUUCAGCUCUACCAAAAACCGACUCAUUACUUCCAAGGAUAACGCCUCGGUUCAAAUUAACAUUAGUCAUAUGUGUGUGUAUGUAUAUUGUAACCAUGAAACUUUUGUUAAUCAAAUUGAGUUAAUGAAUUUUCUUUUGGGAUUUUCCUUUUAGUAUAUAAUUUUUUGUCGUGUAGGUAGUAGCUUGUAAGCACAUUGCUCUUCAAUUUUCCUAAUUAUGUAAUUUCAUGUUAAUUUAGGCUUCUUCUAAGAUUUAGGGGUGCUAAAUUCCAUCCCAACACAAAAUUAAAUCCGUUCAUAUCAAUCUCAUCCUUAAUUUUAGAGGUCUAUUGCUAGACCUCCAAUUUUAUUUACCUAUAACAGAAGGAAGAAAGACAAGGGGACACGUGGAAAUGGUGAGGAAAGCAAGGAGGGGGGACCGCAAGUUAGUUAGUAGUGGAACGGAAAAAGGGAGCAGGCAGAGCAGAAAGGACAAAUGUCGGGUAAAAGGUGGGAGCAGACUGAAGAAGAGAGCAGAGACCGUUAAGGCAGGCAGACUGGACUUAUAAAUAAGCCCUUCCGUGGGUAAUAGGGGGCAUGUUUUCAUUCUGAGUGUUGUGUGGUGUAGUAGGGCAGUAAUAGAGAGCUUAUUGCUGUGAGUUCUUUUUGUGUUUUGUUCUGUGUAUUCUCCUUAGAGGAAGAACAGACUUAAUAGUUUGGGCUGUAAGUUUCUUGAUAUUUUGGCAAGUUAAAUCAAAGUGUUCUUAAGGA
Cucumis melo (muskmelon) is the source of this 966-nucleotide long non-coding RNA. RefSeq lists it as uncharacterized. The transcript is spliced from 2 exons. Lineage: Eukaryota; Viridiplantae; Streptophyta; Magnoliopsida; Cucurbitales; Cucurbitaceae. The record is from RefSeq and is a predicted model, not a curated record.